GAUGAACGCUGGCGGCGUGCCUAAUACAUGCAAGUCGAGCGAGCAGACGAGGAGCUUGCUCCUCUGACGUUAGCGGCGGACGGGUGAGUAACACGUGGAUAACCUACCUAUAAGACUGGGAUAACUUCGGGAAACCGGAGCUAAUACCGGAUAAUAUAUUGAACCGCAUGGUUCAAUAGUGAAAGGCGGUUUUGCUGUCACUUAUAGAUGGAUCCGCGCCGCAUUAGCUAGUUGGUAAGGUAACGGCUUACCAAGGCAACGAUGCGUAGCCGACCUGAGAGGGUGAUCGGCCACACUGGAACUGAGACACGGUCCAGACUCCUACGGGAGGCAGCAGUAGGGAAUCUUCCGCAAUGGGCGAAAGCCUGACGGAGCAACGCCGCGUGAGUGAUGAAGGUCUUCGGAUCGUAAAACUCUGUUAUUAGGGAAGAACAAAUGUGUAAGUAACUAUGCACGUCUUGACGGUACCUAAUCAGAAAGCCACGGCUAACUACGUG
This 497-nucleotide ribosomal RNA is filed under the name uncultured bacterium. RNAcentral's name for it is "partial 16S ribosomal RNA". It matches the Rfam family "Bacterial small subunit ribosomal RNA", at positions 28 to 507 of the family's 1533-position model. The record is from RNAcentral.